AGCGGCGGAUGGGUGAGUAACACGUGGGGAACCUGCCCCUAAGUCUGGGAUACCAUUUGGAAACAGGUGCUAAUACCGGAUAAUAAAGCAGAUCGCAUGAUCAGCUUUUGAAAGGCGGCGUAAGCUGUCGCUAAGGGAUGGCCCCGCGGUGCAUUAGCUAGUUGGUAAGGUAACGGCUUACCAAGGCGACGAUGCAUAGCCGAGUUGAGAGACUGAUCGGCCACAUUGGGACUGAGACACGGCCCAAACUCCUACGGGAGGCAGCAGUAGGGAAACUUCCACAAUGGACGCAAGUCUGAUGGAGCAACGCCGCGUGAGCGAAGAAGGUUUUCGGAUCGUAAAGCUCUGUUGUUGGUGAAGAAGGAUAGAGGUAGUAACUGGCCUUUAUUUGACGGUAAUCAACCAGAAAGUCACGGCUAACUACGUGCCAGCAGCCGCGGUAAUACGUAGGUGGCAAGCGUUGUCCGGAUUUAUUGGGCGAAAAGCGAGCGCAGGCGGAAAAAUAAGUCUAAUGUGAAAGCCCUCGGCUUAACCGAGGAACUGCAUCGGAAACUGUUUUUCUUGAGUGCAGAAGAGGAGAGUGGAACUCCAUGUGUAGCGGUGGAAUGCGUAGAUAUAUGGGAAGAACACCAGUGGCGAAAGGCGGCUCUCUGGUCUGCAACUGACGCUGAGGCUCGAAAGCAUGGGUA
This 689-nucleotide ribosomal RNA is filed under the name uncultured bacterium. Its description in RNAcentral is "bacterial SSU rRNA". It matches the Rfam family "Bacterial small subunit ribosomal RNA", at positions 94 to 767 of the family's 1533-position model. The record is from RNAcentral.